GGGCCGGUAGAUCAGUGGUAGAUCACUCCCUUGGCAUGGGAGAGGCCCGGGGUUCAAAUCCCCGCCGGUCCA
This 72-nucleotide transfer RNA is filed under the name Salinarchaeum sp. IM2453. It matches the Rfam family "tRNA". Rfam says of the family: Transfer RNA (tRNA) molecules are approximately 80 nucleotides in length. Their secondary structure includes four short double-helical elements and three loops (D, anti-codon, and T loops). Lineage: Archaea; Methanobacteriati; Methanobacteriota; Halobacteria; Halobacteriales; Natronoarchaeaceae. The record is from Rfam by way of RNAcentral.